RNAcentral lists this long non-coding RNA (270 nucleotides) under Solanum tuberosum (potato). RNAcentral describes it as "long non-coding RNA (STUB_LNC004426)". The record is from RNAcentral. Lineage: Eukaryota; Viridiplantae; Streptophyta; Magnoliopsida; Solanales; Solanaceae.
AUCAAUAUCGAUAUCAAAAUUAAAGUAAUCAUAAGUUCAUUCUUGUCUCAGUUUCAAGCAGAUCAUGAAUUCCAAUUCAAAUCAUCUCCCCCUUAGGUUCAAGGGGAGAAGGACAGUGCGAGAAACCAAAUUUAGUGUUAUUUAUCAUGUCUAAACGCUAAUACAAAUAUCGAAAAAUGUGAAUACAGAGCUAAAAUGCUGUGAAGGGAAAGGUGAUUUACUUAGGAAACUGGCCAAUUGCUAUCAACUGGUAUCGGUACAACCACGAUU